Long non-coding RNA from Mercurialis annua (annual mercury), 754 nucleotides. RefSeq lists it as uncharacterized. The transcript has 4 exons. Lineage: Eukaryota; Viridiplantae; Streptophyta; Magnoliopsida; Malpighiales; Euphorbiaceae. The record is from RefSeq and is a predicted model, not a curated record.
AUUUCCAGAAUUGAGUAGAGAUAGGCUUCAUCUUCAUCUCCUUCCUCCUACUUCAUGUCAAAAAUUCAAAUCCACCUACAAGCUUCGUUUCUCGUCCGAUUCGCGUGAUUCUUGCGGCAACGGAACGAGAGAGAGAUUCUCUACUGAUCUAACUCAUCAAUUUAAGCUUGUAGAUUCUUCGUUUGAUAUCGGAAUUGGGCGAUUUUUGCGGCGUUGGAACGAGGGAAGAAUUUCCUACUGAUCUAGACUAACAUCUGAAGACAUGACGAGGCGACUACCAAUGGAACCCGGAACUUACAAAACGCGACAUCGCUAAACUAUUAUCGAAGGUUAUGGAUAGCAAGCGUGUGUUUUUCAGGUGCCUAGAUUCUAGACGUGGCUAGAAGUCUGUCUUUGACCAGAGGUUCCUUUGGGCUAUGUACAGUCCCGACUUUCGUAGUUGCUGCAGUAGUGUGAUUCUGACCGGUGUCGUGGCCUAGCAUAUUAACAUGUUUUCAUGAUGUCUAUAGUUGUUGUCAUUAAAUAUACGCUUUGUUGGCUACGAUUAUUGUAUUUGUUCCACGGAGGUAGAUACCCGUGAAGUGACUUUGACACUAGUAGUUUAUGACGGGCUAGUACGUACCUGAUACGGAAACGAUAAGCCCGAGCAAGUUGUAAGACUUUACUAGUGUAUAUAAAUGUAUCUUUGUUUUGUUAAAUGCUUCCGUUUGUAAGGUCAAGGUUUAUAUGAUAAUUGCGAAAAAGUUUUAGUAAA